Molecule: ribosomal RNA, 497 nt
Filed under: uncultured bacterium
Lineage: Bacteria
Description: partial 16S ribosomal RNA
Rfam family: Bacterial small subunit ribosomal RNA
Source: RNAcentral
GAUGAACGCUGGCGGCGUGCCUAAUACAUGCAAGUCGAGCGAACAGAUGAGGAGCUUGCUCCUCUGACGUUAGCGGCGGACGGGUGAGUAACACGUGGAUAACCUACCUAUAAGACUGGGAUAACUUCGGGAAACCGGAGCUAAUACCGGAUAAUAUAUUGAACCGCAUGGUUCAAUAGUGAAAGACAGUUUUGCUGUCACUUAUAGAUGGAUCCGCGCCGCAUUAGCUAGUUGGUAAGGUAACGGCUUACCAAGGCGACGAUGCGUAGCCGACCUGAGAGGGUGAUCGGCCACACUGGAACUGAGACACGGUCCAGACUCCUACGGGAGGCAGCAGUAGGGAAUCUUCCGCAAUGGGCGAAAGCCUGACGGAGCAACGCCGCGUGAGUGAUGAAGGUCUUCGGAUCGUAAAACUCUGUUAUUAGGGAAGAACAAAUGUGUAAGUAACUAUGCACGUCUUGACGGUACCUAAUCAGAAAGCCACGGCUAACUACGUG